GCCGUCGUUGACCAGUGGUUGGUCCUGCUCGUCCUUUAUGGCGGUGUGUUAUAAACGUUCGGAGAUGCACGGAGGUUCGAUUCCUCCCGACGGCA
Non-coding RNA from Mycena galericulata, 95 nucleotides. NCBI's taxonomy places the organism in Eukaryota, Fungi, Basidiomycota, Agaricomycetes, Agaricales, Mycenaceae. The record is from the annotation of a GenBank genome assembly.